CCUUGGUCACCUCAUCUGGAAAAUGGGGAUGAAGACUGUGAGCCCCACGCGGGACGGGGACUGGGUCCAACCUGAUCGGCUGGAAUCCACCCCAGGGCCUAGGACGGUGCUCGUCGCGUAGCGAGCGCCGAACAGAUACGAUGAUUAUUAUGCUUAUCGUUCUUGCUGUCGAUAGAAGCUGCACGGAGGGGUCCCGACCUCUCGCGGAGGAGGAACCGGAUCGUUCGGGGAACAAUCUGGGCGUCCUGGGCUCGGACCGAGGCCCCCUUCUUGGCCCCUAAUGGACCUUCAGAGGGGCUGCCUCCCCUGCGGGCUGGAGACGCGGACCGGUACGAUCGCGGGAGGGGAGGUCGACCUCCCGUUCCUUCUCCCAGGCUGCUUCCGACCGGGGCUCUCCCGGUGGACGCCGGCCCCUCUCCGGACGGUGAGCAGAGCAGAUGCGGCCCCGGGGCGCCCCGGGGAUCCCUUCGGAGCCCCUCGCGAGCACAACCGCUGAGCAACCUUUAAAGAUGGCGGCCGUCCAGCCCUUUCCGAUACGCCGGCCGCGCCGGUUUUCUCCCCCGACGGCCACGUGACGGCCACUCGACUGAGCCCAACUCACUCGCUCCCCAUCCCUGCGCCGAUCUUCCG
Molecule: long non-coding RNA, 630 nt
Filed under: Ornithorhynchus anatinus (platypus)
Lineage: Eukaryota; Metazoa; Chordata; Mammalia; Monotremata; Ornithorhynchidae
Description: lncRNA (ENSOANG00000038530.1)
Source: RNAcentral